RNAcentral lists this ribosomal RNA (368 nucleotides) under uncultured bacterium. RNAcentral's name for it is "bacterial SSU rRNA". It matches the Rfam family "Bacterial small subunit ribosomal RNA", at positions 917 to 1291 of the family's 1533-position model. The record is from RNAcentral.
GGGCCCGCACAAGCGGUGGAGUAUGUGGUUUAAUUCGAUGCAACGCGAAGAACCUUACCAGGUCUUGACAUGUCACUUUUUUCUUGAAAAAGAAAGUUUCCCGAGUGAACACAGGUGGUGCAUGGCUGUCGUCAGCUCGUGUCUUGAGAUGUUGGGUUAAGUCCCGCAACGAGCGCAACCCUUACCCUUUAGUUACUACACGUAAUGGUGAGCACUUAAGGGGACUGCCUGCGCAAGCAGGAGGAAGGUGGGGACGACGUCAAGUCAUCAUGGCCCUUACGACCAGGGCUACACACGUGCUACAAUGGCGUUCACAGAGGGGAUGCUAACCCCGCGAGGGGAGCUAAUCCCCAGAAAGUUCGUCUCAG